GAGAUCAUAAAUUCCACUCGGAAAGCGCUCUAUCUCAUCUUAUCUCGGAAGCUAAGUGGGGUAGGGCCUGGUUAGUACUUGCAUGGGAGAAUUUUGAGACUUUUAUACCAUGAGCUGU
Molecule: ribosomal RNA, 118 nt
Filed under: Nannospalax galili (Upper Galilee mountains blind mole rat)
Lineage: Eukaryota; Metazoa; Chordata; Mammalia; Rodentia; Spalacidae
Source: RNAcentral